UGGCAGACGGGUGAGUAACGCGUGGGAACAUACCUCUUGGUUCGGAACAACACAGGGAAACUUGUGCUAAUACCGGAUAAGCCCUUACGGGGAAAGAUUUAUCGCCGAGAGAUUGGCCCGCGUCUGAUUAGCUAGUUGGUGUGGUAAAAGCGCACCAAGGCGACGAUCAGUAGCUGGUCUGAGAGGAUGAUCAGCCACAUUGGGACUGAGACACGGCCCAA
This 221-nucleotide ribosomal RNA is filed under the name uncultured bacterium. RNAcentral describes it as "partial 16S ribosomal RNA". It matches the Rfam family "Bacterial small subunit ribosomal RNA", at positions 96 to 334 of the family's 1533-position model. The record is from RNAcentral.